RNAcentral lists this RNase P RNA (461 nucleotides) under Lawsonibacter sp. Its description in RNAcentral is "RNase P RNA component class A". It matches the Rfam family "Bacterial RNase P class A". From Rfam's summary of the family: Ribonuclease P (RNase P) is a ubiquitous endoribonuclease, found in archaea, bacteria and eukarya as well as chloroplasts and mitochondria. Its best characterised activity is the generation of mature 5'-ends of tRNAs by cleaving the 5'-leader elements of precursor-tRNAs. The record is from RNAcentral. Lineage: Bacteria; Bacillati; Bacillota; Clostridia; Eubacteriales; Oscillospiraceae.
GCAGUAAGCUGGACAGCCGCGCGGGCGGGGCGAAAGGCCCGCCUGUGAGGAAAGUCCGGGCUCCGCAGGGCAAGGAUAACGGGUAACACCCGCCGGGGGCGACCCUAGGACAAGUGCAACAGAGAUAUACCGCCCCGUUCCCUGUAAAUGGGGCCCCCGCAAAAACGUCGUUUUUGUGGGGAGAGGAGGAGCAGCGUAAUGAGUUCGUUUUCCUGCUUGCAGGAAAACGAACGAUAUGCAGCUUGCGACGACGAGGUAAGGAUGGAAAGGCGAGGUAAGAGCUCACCCGAUGGCGCGUAAAAGUGCCCAUCGCUGUAAACUCUAUCCGGAGCAACGCCGUGGGAACACACAUAGACCGGCCCGGUCGUGUUCAGGAGGCGGCUUGAGCGCGUCAGCAAUGGCGCGUCGAGAUAGAUGGCUGUCUUAAAAGACAGAACCCGGCUUACAGGCUUACUGCACCA